UACGAAGGGUGCAAGCGUUAAUCGGAAUUACUGGGCGUAAAGCGCGCGUAGGUGGUUCAGCAAGUUGGAUGUGAAAGCCCUGGGCUCAACCUGGGAACUGCAUCCAAAACUACUGAGCUAGAGUACGGUAGAGGGUAGUGGAAUUUCCUGUGUAGCGGUGAAAUGCGUAGAUAUAGGAAGGAACACCAGUGGCGAAGGCGACUACCUGGACUGAUACUGACACUGAGGUGCGAAAGCGUGGGGAGCAAACAGGAUUAGAAACCCCGGUAGU
RNAcentral lists this ribosomal RNA (271 nucleotides) under uncultured bacterium. Its description in RNAcentral is "partial 16S ribosomal RNA". It matches the Rfam family "Bacterial small subunit ribosomal RNA", at positions 524 to 794 of the family's 1533-position model. The record is from RNAcentral.